GGUCUCCCAAUGCUUACCACAGGCUGUGUUCUUUACACCUACUGUGUAGAAACAGGAGGUACACUAAAUGCUCCCCAUAUACACCUCAAUCCAGGCCCUUUAUCUGGUCUGUAUUGUGAAUGGGGGAACAAAA
Small nucleolar RNA from Suncus etruscus (white-toothed pygmy shrew), 133 nucleotides. RefSeq annotates it as small nucleolar RNA SNORA51. The transcript has a single exon. The record is from RefSeq and is a predicted model, not a curated record. Lineage: Eukaryota; Metazoa; Chordata; Mammalia; Eulipotyphla; Soricidae.